CAUGAAGCUGGAAUCGCUAGUAAUCGCGAAUCAGAAUGUCGCGGUGAAUACGUUCCCGGGUCUUGUACACACCGCCCGUCACACCAUGGGAGUCGGAAAUGCCCGAAGUCAGUGACCCAACCGUAAGGAGGGAGCUGCCGAAGGUGGGGCCGGUAACUGGGGUGAAGUCGUAACAAGGUAAC
This 182-nucleotide ribosomal RNA is filed under the name uncultured bacterium. Its description in RNAcentral is "partial 16S ribosomal RNA". It matches the Rfam family "Bacterial small subunit ribosomal RNA", at positions 1319 to 1500 of the family's 1533-position model. The record is from RNAcentral.